UAAUUAAUUUACCACUAUUCCUCUUUUUCCCUUAAAUUCCCAAGAGAUCACUUGUUAAAUUUCUAUAUAAUUUUUCUUAUUUGAAAGGAUACCCAUCUUAUAGUUAUCUUUUAAUUUAAUUAGUUUCCUCUUUAUUACAAUUUAAUAUUGAACUUUCCUUUUCAAAUGCAGUCAUAAGGUGUCCAUUUUCUAGUAGCAGUAGGCCUGAUUUCUACCUUCAGGUGAGAGCUACUGUUACUCUUUAUCUGCUUCUAGUACUCUACUACUGCGAUCUUAUAUUUGUUCCUUUUUUCUAUACAUUGCUCUUAAAAGAGCCACAAUUAUUUUUUAGAGGAGCUGUAAUUAUUAUUUGUUAGUAUUACUGAAGAAGGAGAUCAAUACUAUUAUACUACUUUUACCUACAAAAAAUCGAAGUUUAACUCAAAAGCUUUUCCCAGAACACCAUCUAAAAUAAUUUUUCUUAUUAUGAAAUGAGAGUUAAUAAUUGACUUAUUACCCAAUCAUCAUAAACUUUACAUGAUAGUAUAUAAUAUACCCAAAAGCAUUAUUCAUCAAAAUAUAUAUAUAUAUGUAUGUAUAUCAUUGUUUUUCUCUGAAAUGUGGUUUUAACAAGGUGGAGCCCUGAUUGUCUGUAAGCUGUUAAUUUACUGAAUGAAUCUAGUCUUGCUUCCUUUGAGUUUAGUUUAAUUAUUGCAGAUAUUUGCCAGUUUAUUUCUUUAUCUGAGUUCCUUAAUUUUGUUUUAUAAUAAUGUUGCGUUCUCUUUAAAUAGAUUUGGGUUUAGUUUAGAUUAUAAAUAAGUGUGGCUUAAGGACAACUUUUCUUCCAUAGAUUUAGCACAUUUUAUUGACUGAUUUGCCAUAAUUUGUAAUGUGGACUGGAAGAGCAUCCCGAC
This 893-nucleotide long non-coding RNA is filed under the name Ricinus communis (castor bean). RNAcentral describes it as "long non-coding RNA (RCOM_LNC003777)". The record is from RNAcentral. Lineage: Eukaryota; Viridiplantae; Streptophyta; Magnoliopsida; Malpighiales; Euphorbiaceae.